This 193-nucleotide ribosomal RNA is filed under the name uncultured bacterium. Its description in RNAcentral is "partial 16S ribosomal RNA". It matches the Rfam family "Bacterial small subunit ribosomal RNA", at positions 583 to 775 of the family's 1533-position model. The record is from RNAcentral.
UCGCGGCGACCGGAAAAACCUAGGGCUCAACCCCAGGCCUGCGGUCGAUACGGGCAGGCUAGAGUUCGGUAGGGGAGACUGGAAUUCCUGGUGUAGCGGUGAAAUGCGCAGAUAUCAGGAGGAACACCGGUGGCGAAGGCGGGUCUCUGGGCCGAUACUGACGCUGAGGAGCGAAAGCGUGGGGAGCGAACAG